AUGGGAGACCCAGAGAACAGAUUCCAGAGGUUGCAGCUAUCAGAGGCGGAGAAGUCAGGCAUCCGAAUUGGGGGCUGGAGUAGCAACUCAAGCAUAUCCGGAAAGCUGCAGGUUAUAGGGAAGCUUUUCUCGGAGCGUCCAGCAAAAGUCGAUAUCCUAGCAAAGACACUGGGGAGCUUUUGGUGCCCGUUCUCGGGGGUUAAAUGUAAGAACUUGGGCAUGAACAGAUUCUUAUUCACCUUCCCGGGUGUAGUGAUGAAGAAGAAGGCCCUCAUGGGGGGGUGGAGUUUUAGGAAGGAGUUGCUGGUGAUUGAAGACUUUGCGCCCAGCAAAACUUUGGAUGAAUACGAAUUCAGGUAUUGUCCGAUAUGGGUGCGUGUUUUUGGUUUACCCAUGGGGAGCAUGAGCAGAGAAACUGGAGAACAAUUUGGGAACAUAAUUGGAAAAACUCUUGAAGUAGAUGUUGAUGGUAAUGGCUUGGCAAUAGGACAAUUUCUGAGAAUUAAAGUUAGAACGGAUAUUAGGAAACCGAUCAUGAGGUUUCUAUCUGUUUGUGUGGACAAAGAUGAAGAUGAGGAAUUGGCAGGUGUAGAGGAGAUAGAAGAAGAAGACGACUCAGAGGAAAAGAAGAAUAAGGACAAGGAAAGGAUAAUAACCUUCAAAUAUGAGCAUCUUCCAGAUUUUUGA
Molecule: ribosomal RNA, 687 nt
Filed under: Triticum aestivum (bread wheat)
Lineage: Eukaryota; Viridiplantae; Streptophyta; Magnoliopsida; Poales; Poaceae
Description: partial small subunit ribosomal RNA
Source: RNAcentral